AGAUUGAACGCUGGCGGCAUGCCUUACACAUGCAAGUCGAACGGCAGCACGGGAGCAAUCCUGGUGGCGAGUGGCGAACGGGUGAGUAAUACGAUCGGAACGUGCCCAAUCGUGGGGGAUAACGCAGCGAAAGCUGUGCUAAUACCGCAUAAGAUCUACGGAUGAAAGCAGGGGAUCGCAAGACCUUGCGCGAAUGGAGCGGCCGAUGGCAGAUUAGGUAGUUGGUGAGGUAAAGGCUCACCAAGCCUUCGAUCUGUAGCUGGUCUGAGAGGACGACCAGCCACACUGGGACUGAGACACGGCCCAGACUCCUACGGGAGGCAGCACGUGGGGAAUUUUGGACAAGUGGGACGUAAAGCCUGAUCCAGGCCCAUAGCCGCGUGCAGGAUGAGCCGUUCGGUGUAACUGCUUUGUACGGAA
RNAcentral lists this ribosomal RNA (420 nucleotides) under uncultured soil bacterium. RNAcentral describes it as "bacterial SSU rRNA". It matches the Rfam family "Bacterial small subunit ribosomal RNA", at positions 26 to 444 of the family's 1533-position model. The record is from RNAcentral.